UGGAAGAGCGUGACUGUCCUCCCAACAGU
Molecule: non-coding RNA, 29 nt
Filed under: Rattus norvegicus (Norway rat)
Lineage: Eukaryota; Metazoa; Chordata; Mammalia; Rodentia; Muridae
Source: RNAcentral